RNAcentral lists this ribosomal RNA (253 nucleotides) under uncultured bacterium. RNAcentral's name for it is "partial 16S ribosomal RNA". It matches the Rfam family "Bacterial small subunit ribosomal RNA", at positions 524 to 776 of the family's 1533-position model. The record is from RNAcentral.
UACAGGGGGGGCAAGCGUUGUUCGGAAUUACUGGGCGUAAAGUGUGCGCAGGUGGCUGCGCAAGUCGAGUGUGAAAGCCCCGGGCUUAACUUGGGAAUUGCGCUCGAAACUACGUGGCUAGAGUGUGGCAGAGGAAGGUGGAAUUCCACGUGUAGCGGUGAAAUGCGUAGAGAUGUGGAGGAACACCGAUGGCGAAGGCAGCCUUCUGGGCCAACACUGACGCUCAUGCACGAAAGCGUGGGGAGCAAACAGG